Molecule: long non-coding RNA, 5834 nt
Organism: Prinia subflava (tawny-flanked prinia)
Lineage: Eukaryota; Metazoa; Chordata; Aves; Passeriformes; Cisticolidae
Exons: 2
Source: RefSeq, a predicted model, not a curated record
UUUCCUUCCAGUGAAGCUAAUUUGCAGCUUCUGGCUGUGAGAACAUCAUUACCAAUCUCAAGUUAUUUGCCCUAACCAUACAUUUUUAUUCCACUAGUAAUACUGGUAUUAGCAUGAACCUAAGAAAUCAGACCUAAUUUUGCCUACUAGAACAACAAAAAAAAGCUGGUUCUGGGGGUGGGGGAAAAGCUGCAAUGCUGUUCAGACACCAGGGUCUGAUAAGCAUUGCCUCACACUGCUUUUUAUUGCUUGAGUUUCCCACAGACGGCUAAAAGUGGUUAAGCUGUUAAUUUCUCAAAAGAUUUCUUGGUUUCAUUUUCCAAACAGCUUGAUAGUUUUUUAUUAGUUGCUGCCUUGAAGAUUCUGUACUCAAAAAAAGAAGCAUUUUCCAAUCCCAGGACAGUUGUCAGAAGAGGUCUAACAGUGUUCAUUCUCAUCUCUCCUAAGUCACUGAACUAGCACUGUUUACCAAACUACAAAGGCAAAAAACAAGAUGCAUGCAAACAUCUCUCACCAGGCUUACCUACCAUGCUUGAAAGGAAAAAAGAAAAUAAAAAGAAGGAAAAAAAAAAAGAAAAAAAUAAGAAUUGCAGGAGUUUCAUUGGUGUUUUAGCUUUUUUUUUAAACAUCACUAGGCACUUUUCUUUUUUGUUCACAUAUAAUUUGGAAAAUCUACUCCUACAUGAAUCUUCAUACCUUUUUGCUCACUCUCUAAAUUUUAUCUAAGCUUCCCAAGUAGUUUUUAAAGGGCUAGAAGCAGCACACUAUGCUUUAGCAAGAAAAUCUGAGCAGUAAUUUUGACUGAUUCUCACCAAAACCAGACAUAAGUAAGACAACUACUGAAAUAUUUUUGAAAACCUCCAAAGUUCUAUGAUAUCCUAAAGUCAUGUUUUAAGUCCGCAUUCCAAAAAAAUGCAAAAUUAUGUGAGUUUCACAGCACCACAAAAACUACACCAAUCCAAGCUGAAAAUCAUGUGCAAACAGGUGCCUAUGAGUACUUUACAAUUACUAAAUUUGCUAAUAGUUUUGAAGUGUUUCAGGAACUUGUGGUUCCCGCAAGACAGCAGAGAUUAGCACUUUAUGCAAAGAUGUGUUAGUACACAAAAUAAAGUUUUGAUUGUGGUACACGCAAGAGUUUCAAAUAAUACUCUUUAUGGCUCUUUUUCUUUUUUUUUUUUUUUCCUGUAUCUGAAAGAGCUCAUCAAAUUAAAAGAGAGAAGAAAAAAAGAAGAAAAUAUUAAAAAAAAAAAAAGGUUAAGAAUCGCGAAAUUCCAGUCUGUUUGUAUUGAACAUUGCUAUCCUUUCAGACUGACGAAAAUACUUGAUUUACUCGAUUCUUCACUACAUUAAGAAACACUGCCCUGAAGAAGGAUUCAUUUUCUCCUCUCCAGAUCCCUUCACUGAUGACUUGCCAAAUCGAUAGGAUAAUGUGAAAUGAAGAUUUAAAUAUUCAACACAUCCGUGUAAAAUCAUAUUUAGAAAAAGUGCAAUUACAUUGCAUCAUUUACAAAAUAAUGAGAGAGAACUAAGUAACAAGUAGCAAAGCAGACACUGCUGUGCAGCUUGGAGGGAGGGUACAUUUAACUCCUUAAACCCCGGAGACGGGAAAGAUUCUGUCACUCCCAGCCGACGUGCGAAGGUGACAUCCAGCACAGGCUUUAAAAGACUCAAACAAAAACACGGCCCUAAUAAGUCACCUGAUGAGGGAAGUGGAAAAGAACUGCCCAAGAUCAGCGAACAGCAGCUGCCCGAGCACGCAGGGCUGUGUCUCCUGUCAGACCCCUGCUCGGCCCCGGGGGGACACCCGGGCGCUCCCCGCAGCCCAACAGAACAUAGAGACAAAGAAUCGUUUGAGCUGGAAAAUGCCUCUAAGACCAUUGACUCCAGUCAUUACUGUUGCUCAUGAGUGUGAAGGAGCUGGUACAGACAAGACACAGGUAUAGUUCAUGAUCUUUCCUCUGGGACUCCCAAGCUGCACCAGCUGUUCCUGAAUCCAAAUUUUCUCAAACAGAUGAGAAGCAGUGAUGCUCCACAGGUUAUUGCAGUGCUCAUUGCCAGCGACAAAGCUGAGCAUUUGUUUAUGCCUCAUGAUACUGAUUUCACUGCAUUUUUACUGAACAAGAACAAUCCUCUGCCUUUUUUCCAUGUUAUUUGUGGUCAUAACAGAUUUGCUACACAGCACGAACCUUUGAUAUAGAAUAACUAUGAAGGACAUGGACAAAGGCCAAGAAAGGAUGGAAAGAACAGUUUGUUAAAACAGAAAAGAGAAAAUUGGACACAAUAUUUCGGUUUUGUAGAACUACAUUUUACUAGGUACGUCUGUUUGUUACGUAUAUGUCAGCUGGAAUCAAGCAGUUUUCAAUAUAAACAGAUUUCACAAUAUUACCCUGAAGCACACAUAGCAGCUCUCUCUGGCCCUGUUAGACCUUGGUGUCAGCUGUGGCCAGACACAGAAAAAGGAAGCUCAUGAAAGAAGCAAAUAAUAAUUCAGCCAGCAAUGUACAAAGCAGGGUACACAGGAAGAAAUAAUUGAGUGCCCUCUAUUUAACAAUAUGAUGUGGUAAAGGUAGAUAGACAACACCCAUAAAUUGUACUGGCAAAUCUAGAUUAACACAUGGAAAUAGAAUCUGAUUUUUCAGCAGUGAGCACUCCCCAUUUCCAGGAGGUUUUGUGUUGGAUGUAGCAACAUCAUUAGUCACUUCUGAUGUUGAGAAAAAAGAUAUUUUGAUAGCUUUUUCUAGGAUUGAUCAAAUUGUCUCUGUUUAAAGUCUGUUUCCUUUAAACCCUUUGCAUUCUAAUUUGAAUCAGGUCAUGAAUUUCAUUAUUUUCCCCUAAUCUUCUAGCAAGCAACUCACUGCCAGCUACUGUGUACCACUAAGAAAACUGCAAAGAUAUUUCUUUCAGAUGACAAGGCCACAUAAAAAGCUCCCAUUUCACUUUGAAUGAUUUCCUUUUCACUAAAAAUGUGCUUCUACAAAAACGUGCUGCCAAAAUUAUCAAAAUGCUAGAGCCAAAUUCUCCCACUAACUGCUUCAGCAUGUUCACUACCUCAUUUAGAAUGAAGGACAACAAAGUCACUGGAGAAUGGUUCAUCUGCAGCUAAACAGUCUCUCUCUUGCCCUUUAUAGCUCAUCAGUCUACAGGUCAUGCAUUCUGGAAACAAAGAUUUCUCCCAAUAAACAUUUUAUUUGAAAAAACAUCACCCAAGAAGUAACUGAAAAUACAGAGUGGAACACUAAAAAAAAUACAUUUUAAUGGCUCAUCUUCUCUAGAAAUUCAGAAAUAAACCUUUUCACACUUCACCAUUAUUGCAAGACAUUAGUCUGUCCCGCAUCAGAGGACGCUUCUGUUUGUUGUUUUAUGUUGGUUUGGUUUUGUUUUUGUUGGUUUGUUGGUUUGGUUUUGGGGGGUUUGCUGCUUGCUUGGGUUUUUUGGUUUUGUUUGAUUUUUUUUUUUGGUACGAGGUUUUGUUGUUGGGGUUUUUGGUUGUUUGGUUGUUUUUGUUUGUUUUUUGUUUGUUGGUUUGGGUUGGGGUUUAUUUGAGAGAUGAAAUUACACAAUUUCAACCCAGUAGUUACCUCUCUUCAUUCUUGAGGGGCCUGUCAGUUUUUGACUUGUCCAGUCUUUUUGACAGCUGAGACAUCUUUUACCUGCAUUUUGGUUAGACAUUUAGAUAUAAUCUAGAUAUCUACAGAGGAGACCCAAAACAAAUGGAGCAAAAUAAACCAUCUCUUAAACAGUAACACUUUUAAACUGCUUUAUAACUGCUUUAUAACUAAAUCACAUUACCUUUUAGAAAUAUUAAAAUCAUGCCAUGAAUGCUUCACAGUUUAAGACUUCACAGAUGUUAUGGGUUGUUACUAUUGCUAUUCCAAGCUUCAUGUCAGAAGUGAGAAUAGUUUACACAUGCUUUUGUUACUGAGAGAAGGUUACAGAUACUGGCACACAACCAAAGAGGAAGGGAAGAGGUACCACAAACCAGCUUGAACUCUUCACACAGUAAUCUGAAGUAGUUAUAGGUAAUGUAUUUGAUUCCUUCCAUAAACAUAUUUCUGGCACAACCUGUGUUAAUAAACUAGUUCUCAACCAGUUUUUAAUAAAAGAAUUUAGGCAUUACAUUCACAGAUUAAGGCUGCUUUUUUUCCUAGUGCUUGUGUGUAGCAACAGGUCUCAAGAAGUAGCUGAACUACAUCUCUCCUACUCUUGUUCCAGACUUUUACUGCUUACCAUUUUCUUGUCUCACUUGUUCUUCCAUACUUCCAUCUUCCAGCAGGUUCUUUACCAAGUCAGGGAAGUAAAUGCUACUGUAACUAUUCUGUACAGGUUCAAUGUAAAAACCAUGCAGAGAUAUUAAAAACCAAUAUGUUUGGGGAAAGGGAUUCUUCUAACUGGAUCUUUCAUGUUACAGGUAAUUUCAUAACAAAUGAGUUUGGAAAAUACAGAUGUGAUAAAGAAUACUCAUAUGUAAUAAAUACAAAAUCCAUGGAAACCAGAUUUUGAGUAAAACAGGAGAAAAGAGGCAAUACAAGUACCAGCAGCACAGGCUCUUUUAGAUCUCUUCCAUUGUUAUUUCCUUACCUUCAUAUGUUUUCAAAUCACUGACAUGGAUGUGUUAUUAUUUGCACAUGUUGAUAUAUUUAUUUUUAUAAUAAAUCUAAUUUGAAGUAAUCUGAUCAUUUUGUUAAUAGAAUCAUAGAAGGGUUUGGUUCAGAAAGGACCAUAAAAAUGUCUUAGUUUCAACCCCACUCCCACGGGCAGAGAAACCUUCCAUUAGACAAGAUUGCUUAAAGCCCCAUCCAGACUGGCCUUGAACAGGACAUCCACAAUUUCUCCGGCCAACCUGUCACAGUGUCUUAUCACCCUUAGAACAGAGAAUUCUUUCCUAAUAUGUAAUCUAAAACUACUCUCUUUAAAGCCAUCUCCCCCUCUGCUGUCACUACAGAUCUUGGUUAAAAGUCUCUAGCUGUCCUUCUUCUAAGCCCCAUUUAAGUAAUGAAAAGAUGCAAUGUGUUGUCCCUGGAGUCUUCUCUCCUCCAGAUUGAACAACCUCAGUUCUCUCAGCCUUUCUUUAACAAGGAAAGGUGCUCCACCCCUCUGAUGAUUUCUGUGACCUUCCUCUGGACCCACUGUAAUUGGUCCAUGUCUUUCCUGUGCAAGAGACCUCAGAGCUACAUGCAAUAUUCCAGGUGGGGUCUCACCAGAGCAGGAUAUUUUUAUACUGUUAGGGAUUAAAUAUAAUUUAUUGAAAGCAAAAUAAAUUAAAAUACAUAGACCUUCUUUGAAAUAGUGUUCUCAAGUCCAGUAAAUAAAACAAGUCCUCCCAAGUUUGUGAGUAACCUGUAUUUGUUACUCCGUGCAGCUUUUAAUGAUCUUUAAAGAACAUGCUUCUCAUAAAAACCAAUUAAAGAUCACUGUUCAAAUUAUAUGUUGUUACUGACUCCCUUCUAUAAUAAAAUUGUAAAGAAAAUGAAACAUCACGUGAGCUGUAAUAAAUGUUUACAUAGCAACAAGAGCCUUUGCUAGGACCGAACAGUCGGUUGCCACCUGCUUUAGCCAAACAUGUCCUUUUCUUUCACUCCAAAUAGUGUUCAGGCACUUCAGAAAGUCAUGUGAAUUAUUUAAAUACUCAACUCACACUUAAAAGUAAUUUAUUUACUACACAAAACUAAAGGUAUUACAAGGAACUUGCAGAACUGUGGAGGGAACAUUUUUCCAACAAUGUGACUUAAAUGUUGAUGCAGUAAAAUAAAGUAAAUUCCAUCCUCUUUUUGCAAGGGACCAAACCAGAAUACUAAAUUAAAGAUACAAAAAAAAAAAAAAAAAAAAAAAAAGAA